This 910-nucleotide ribosomal RNA is filed under the name uncultured bacterium. RNAcentral describes it as "bacterial SSU rRNA". It matches the Rfam family "Bacterial small subunit ribosomal RNA", at positions 8 to 916 of the family's 1533-position model. The record is from RNAcentral.
AGAGUUUGAUCAUGGCUCAGAUUGAACGCUGGCGGCAUGCUUUACACAUGCAAGUCGAACGGCAGCGCGGGGCAACCUGGCGGCGAGUGGCGAACGGGUGAGUAAUAUAUCGGAACGUACCCAAGAGUGGGGGAUAACGUAGCGAAAGUUACGCUAAUACCGCAUACGAUCUAAGGAUGAAAGUGGGGGACCGCAAGGCCUCACGCUCCUGGAGCGGCCGAUAUCUGAUUAGCUAGUUGGUGAGGUAAUGGCUCACCAAGGCGACGAUCAGUAGCUGGUCUGAGAGGACGACCAGCCACACUGGAACUGAGACACGGUCCAGACUCCUACGGGAGGCAGCAGUGGGGAAUUUUGGACAAUGGGCGCAAGCCUGAUCCAGCAAUGCCGCGUCAGUGAAGAAGGCCUUCGGGUUGUAAAGCUCUUUUGUCAGGGAAGAAACGGUGGGAGCUAAUAUCUCCCACUAAUGACGGUACCUGAAGAAUAAGCACCGGCUAACUACGUGCCAGCAGCCGCGGUAAUACGUAGGGUGCAAGCGUUAAUCGGAAUUACUGGGCGUAAAGCGUGCGCAGGCGGUUUUGUAAGUCUGUCGUGAAAUCCCCGGGCUUAACCUGGGAAUUGCGAUGGAGACUGCAAGGCUAGAAUCUGGCAGAGGGGGGUAGAAUUCCACGUGUAGCAGUGAAAUGCGUAGAGAUGUGGAGGAACACCGAUGGCGAAGGCAGCCCCCUGGGUCAAGAUUGACGCUCAUGCACGAAAGCGUGGGGAGCAAACAGGAUUAGAUACCCUGGUAGUCCACGCCCUAAACGAUGUCUACUAGUUGUCGGGUCUUAAUUGACUUGGUAACGCAGCUAACGCGUGAAGUAGACCGCCUGGGGAGUACGGUCGCAAGAUUAAAACUCAAAUGAAUUGACGG